GACGAACGCUGGCGGCGUGCCUAAUACAUGCAAGUCGAGCGAAGUUUUUCUGGUGCUUGCACCGGAAAAACUUAGCGGCGAACGGGUGAGUAACACGUAAAGAACCUGCCUCAUAGACUGGGACAACUAUUGGAAACGAUAGCUAAUACCGGAUAACAGCAUUAACUGCAUGGUUGAUGUUUAAAAGUUGGUUUUGCUAACACUAUGAGAUGGCUUUGCGGUGCAUUAGCUAGUUGGUGGGGUAAAGGCCUACCAAGGCGACGAUGCAUAGCCGACCUGAGAGGGUGAUCGGCCACACUGGGACUGAGACACGGCCCAGACUCCUACGGGAGGCAGCAGUAGGGAAUCUUCCGCAAUGGGCGAAAGCCUGACGGAGCAACGCCGCGUGAGUGAAGAAGGAUUUCGGUUCGUAAAGCUCUGUUGUUAGGGAAGAAUGAUUGUGUAGUAACUAUACACAGUAGAGACGGUACCUAACCAGAAAGCCACGGCUAACUACGU
This 498-nucleotide ribosomal RNA is filed under the name uncultured bacterium. RNAcentral's name for it is "partial 16S ribosomal RNA". It matches the Rfam family "Bacterial small subunit ribosomal RNA", at positions 28 to 506 of the family's 1533-position model. The record is from RNAcentral.